CCUACGGGAGGCAGCAGUAGGGAAUAUUGCUCAAUGGGGGAAACCCUGAAGCAGCAACGCCGCGUGGAGGAUGAAGGUCUUCGGAUUGUAAACUCCUUUCGUUAGAGAAGAUAAUGACGGUAACUAACGAAUAAGCACCGGCUAACUCCGUGCCAGCAGCCGCGGGAAUACGGAGGGUGCAAGCGUUACUCGGAAUCACUGGGCGUAAAGAGCGCGUAGGCGGGAUAGCAAGUCAGAUGUGAAAACCUAUGGCUUAACCAUAGAACUGCAGUUGAAACUGUUAUUCUAGAGUAUGGGAGAGGUAGGUGGAAUUCUUGGUGUAGGGGUAAAAUCCGUAGAGAUCAAGAGGAAUACUCAUGGCGAAGGCGACCUGCUAGAACAUAACUGACGCUGAUGCGCGAAAGCGUGGGGAGCAAACAGGAUUAGAUACCCGAGUAGUC
This 440-nucleotide ribosomal RNA is filed under the name uncultured bacterium. Its description in RNAcentral is "partial 16S ribosomal RNA". It matches the Rfam family "Bacterial small subunit ribosomal RNA", at positions 338 to 795 of the family's 1533-position model. The record is from RNAcentral.